Long non-coding RNA from Trachymyrmex septentrionalis, 308 nucleotides. RefSeq lists it as uncharacterized. The transcript is spliced from 3 exons. Lineage: Eukaryota; Metazoa; Arthropoda; Insecta; Hymenoptera; Formicidae. The record is from RefSeq and is a predicted model, not a curated record.
ACCAAUUGUGACUUUCUCCAUAUUCUAAUACUCUGCUGAAAAAUGAGACGGAAUCUCUUGGAAUCUAAAACGACGAGAAACGGCACGAAGGAAUAGUUCAUCGUUGGAUUUCUUUACUACGAAUGCGACGAAUACGAGAUGGUUGGCUCAAAAUGAUUGCUGUUGCGAUUUAUUAAAUUGAUGCUGUUACAAACUAAACAAUGGGAAGAGAAGAGAGGUGAAAAGCAGGCUUGACAAUUUUGAGAAGAGGAGAAGGAGGAGGAGGAAGAAGAGGAGGCUCAAGAAAAGCAAUGGAUCAAUUUUACGAU